RNAcentral lists this ribosomal RNA (497 nucleotides) under uncultured bacterium. RNAcentral's name for it is "partial 16S ribosomal RNA". It matches the Rfam family "Bacterial small subunit ribosomal RNA", at positions 28 to 507 of the family's 1533-position model. The record is from RNAcentral.
GAUGAACGCUGGCGGCGUGCCUAAUACAUGCAAGUCGAGCGAACGGACGAGAAGCUUGCUUCUCUGAUGUUAGCGGCGGACGGGUGAGUAACACGUGGAUAACCUACCUAUAAGACUGGGAUAACUUCGGGAAACCGGAGCUAAUACCGGAUAAUAUUUUGAACCGCAUGGUUCAAAAGUGAAAGACGGUCUUGCUGUCACUUAUAGAUGGAUCCGCGCUGCAUUAGCUAGUUGGUAAGGUAACGGCUUACCAAGGCAACGAUGCAUAGCCGACCUGAGAGGGUGAUCGGCCACACGGGAACUGAGACACGGUCCAGACUCCUACGGGAGGCAGCAGUAGGGAAUCUUCCGCAAAGGGCGAAAGCCUGACGGAGCAACGCCGCGUGAGUGAUGAAGGUCUUCGGAUCGUAAAGCUCUGUUAUUAGGGAAGAACAUAUGUGUAAGUAACUGUGCACAUCUUGACGGUACCUAAUCAGAAAGCCACGGCUAACUACGUG